This 497-nucleotide ribosomal RNA is filed under the name uncultured bacterium. RNAcentral describes it as "partial 16S ribosomal RNA". It matches the Rfam family "Bacterial small subunit ribosomal RNA", at positions 28 to 523 of the family's 1533-position model. The record is from RNAcentral.
GAUGAACGCUGGCGGCGUGCUUAACACAUGCAAGUCGAACGAAGCACUUUUACAGAUUUCUUCGGAAUGAAGUUUUAGUGACUGAGUGGCGGACGGGUGAGUAACGCGUGGGUAACCUGCCUCGCACAGGGGGAUAACAGUUGGAAACGGCUGCUAAUACCGCAUAAGCGCACAGUACCGCAUGGUACAGUGUGAAAAACUCCGGUGGUGUGAGAUGGACCCGCGUCUGAUCAGCUAGUUGGCAGGGCAACGGCCUACCAAGGCGACGAUCAGGAGCCGACCUGAGAGGGUGACCGGCCACAUUGGGACUGAGACACGGCCCAAACUCCUACGGGAGGCAGCAGUGGGGAAUAUUGCACAAUGGGGGAAACCCUGAUGCAGCGACGCCGCGUGAGCGAAGAAGUAUUUCGGUAUGUAAAGCUCUAUCAGCAGGGAAGAAGAAAUGACGGUACCUGACUAAGAAGCACCGGCUAAAUACGUGCCAGCAGCCGCCGUAA